This 429-nucleotide small RNA is filed under the name Rheinheimera nanhaiensis E407-8. RNAcentral's name for it is "Rheinheimera sp. E407-8 cspA thermoregulator". It matches the Rfam family "cspA thermoregulator". The record is from Rfam by way of RNAcentral. Lineage: Bacteria; Pseudomonadati; Pseudomonadota; Gammaproteobacteria; Chromatiales; Chromatiaceae.
UCCGGCCUGUAAAGCAGACCUAUGUAACAAAAUGUUUAUGAACACUUCGCUACACAGCUUCAUUGUAAGUCAUGUCCUGAAGAUUCACGCACGUUUGGCCGCAUAAGUAAGGUAACAGUCAGGCUAAAAGCGCAAUUAAGCGUCAAUUAGUUUAUUAAAAUUUUUAGGAGUCAUUCAUGGCUAAAGUAACUGGUGUAGUUAAGUGGUUCAACGCUGAUAAAGGUUUCGGUUUCAUCACUCAGGACAACGGCGGCGCAGACGCUUUUGUUCACUUCCGUGCAAUCCAGACUGAAGGUUACAAAACCUUAAACGAAGGUCAGCGCGUAUCGUUCGAAAUCGAACAAGGCCAAAAAGGCCCACAAGCUGCUAACGUUACUGUACUGUAAUUUAAGCGCUUGCUAAAAAAAGGACACUCAGGUGUCCUUUUUU